This is a non-coding RNA of Vigna umbellata (rice bean), 1714 nucleotides long. The record is from RefSeq and is a predicted model, not a curated record. Lineage: Eukaryota; Viridiplantae; Streptophyta; Magnoliopsida; Fabales; Fabaceae.
UUUUUGACAUUUUCCUAAUUUGAUUUCAACUUUCCCUCUCGUCUCAUUCCUCUCUUCCGCGUCUCUGAACCUCCAAAAGACUCGUUCCCUCUCAUCUUUAAUUUAUCGGCACUCCUCCCUCCAAACACUCUGAGAACACUCCUCCCUCCUCGCGAUUGUGGUUGUGGUUUAGGCUAUAGAGAGAAGGAGAGCUAGGUUAAGGGAAGGCGAAGGCCAGCGAACUGAAAGCACUGUUCCUACGGCUGACCAAGUAGUUAUAGAACCUUCGGAGACUGCUUCUGCCUCCGCUGCCUCUUCGUCGAAAUCUCCGAAGUCUGACCAAAAUGGUGGAGAUUGUGUUUGGAUUGAUGUGGAAAUCAGCGGUGUUAGCACGAGAGAGAGGAGGAGGAUGGGAUUUGGAAGGGUGAGACCUCGCCGACCUCGGUUUCGACGGAGUGUCCGAUGAUGGUAACAGACGAGACGAAGUUCGAAGGUUGUUCUCUCGCGAGGUUACCUUCUUUUGAUCCCGAGUUGAUUUGGGAAGUUAUGGCCGUUUGAUAGAAUGUUUUGUAGGUGAUGUGUAUAAUAUGAAAACGAAAAUGUCAAUGUUGUGUGGUUUUGUUUUGGUUUUUGUGUGGUGAGAGAGCGGUUUCUUAGCAUAUUGAGUGGAAUUGCAAUGGUUGUCGUUUGGGCCUUGGGUUUUUGCUCAAAUGCUCGCUUGAGGAGUUUUCCUUUUGCAGUUGUUGUGAUACAGAUCUCCCUGCAUUAUAAAUUUUCCUAUCACUGCAAUGCUACUCUGUUCUCUUCUCUUCUCUCCUUCAUCCUCGAUGAUUCAUCAAUCUCCUUGCCAGGCAUCAGUUCUUAAAGAUAGCCUGCCAAUUGGAAAAGAAGCACAUGCUUGGAGCAUUUUCGUUGCUCAAGGUUAUUGAGUCUGAGCUUCAAGCAUACUUGUCUGUAACUAAGGGACGGGUGGGUCAUUGCUUGUCCCUGAUCCAAGGUGCCUCUGAUGUUCAAGAACAAGGAGGAGUACAUGACAGUCAUAAAGCAUUUCAGAUGUGUCAUCUGGAGUAGAGCAGUUAUCAACAAGACAAAUAGCAUAAAAGCUUGAGAAAAUGAUGGAAAAUGAUUUUCUUUUGUAGCAUUUGCUUGUAUAUAUGUUUUUAUUUUUUGACAGAAUACCGGAAUGAACAGGUUGUUAAGCGUUUUCAAGAAUUAUUUGCUCAGACCAAGUAUAAGGAAGCUGCAGAGCUUGCUGCACAAUCACCCCAAGGAGUACUUCGAACUCCUGAUACUGUUGCUAAAUUUCAGAGUGCAAGCUGGGCAAACACCACCACUGUUGCAAUACUUUGGAACUCUGUUAACCAUGGGAAAGCUUAAUGCUUUUGAGUCACUGGAACUGUGACGAGUUGUUGUAAAUCAGAACAAAAAGAAUCUUUUGGAAAAUUGGCUGGCAGAGGAUAAACUUGAAUGCAGUGAGGAGCUUGGUGACCUUGUGAAGACGGUGGAUAAUGACCUUGCUUUGAAAAUUUAUAUCAAAGCUAGAGCAACACCAAAAGUUGUUGCAGCUUUUGCAGAGAGGAGAGAAUUUGACAAAAUCUUGAUAUAUUCAAAGCAGAUCUUUAAUCAUUCAUCCCCUGAAAGUUGCAGACAUGGAAGACAUAAGAAGAAAUUGAGCUUCUUUUAUUUUAAGUGUUAGUAGAAAUUUUAAGUGUUAGUAGAAAUUUGGUUACAAUUU